AGAAACUAUGACAAUAGGAAUAUAUGAUUUGAAAUCAAAUACAAAAAUGGUAUUAAUUUUCUGCCUUCAUUGCUUGCAAACAAACACGACAACCCAUGAGAAGCAAAACAAAAUCAAAGGACCAGAACACAAAUUUAUCUGUGGCGAUUUAUGGAGCAUGUUUUGGGACCAUGUCGAGAGCACACACCACACAGCAAACACACCCGGAUAUUCGGAACAUCGCAGAUGGGAGCGAAGAAUUAAGGGGCGGUGCACAGGACAUCCUGCUUGUUGAGUUCAUAAAUAGCGAUGUUGCAUGCAACUUGAAGAGCGCCUCAGUUCAGCUCAGUUGGGUGUGGCUUUUCCUUUGACUUCAGCUUCAGCUUCAGCACUCGAGGUUCUAAUUUUUAUGAGCAUGUUGCGUGCAACUGGAGGGCAGGCAGUGCAGCAUACUUCGAGGCGCUUUCCCCCGAGCUUUUGCUGCUGCUUUCACUUUAUUGUUCUGACGUCAGCAGCAAAGGACCUAGGAAUCGCCUCGACUGCUAGUUUUGCAUUCGGCUCGUAUAUUUGUGUGAUUUAAUGCUGGCAAAGGCAGACAAAUUUAAAUUGCUUUAUGGCACAUUUCCCAUACGCCCCGUGUCCCCGUUCUAAUGCAAGCCCGGCGAACAAUAAAAAUUAGGCCACAUAAUGACGUCGCGACCUCCCCGUAGAGGACCAAAUUGAAAACAGCAAUCGGUCAGCUCUUUUUGCCGCCGUUUUGGGCUCGCUUUGGUUUGGUCUGAUUUUGGCCUGGUACGCCUGUGUGUUGCAUGUGGCAAGCAAUUCGAUCAGUUGCCAGCGGCAAGUUGCAAUCAUUUUUGGCCCCCGCCAAACAAAGCAAAGCAAAUGCAAGUCUGAUAACUGAGGGAGGGCUUUCAGCGCUGCAAACUUUGCCACAAAACUAUCAGCAACACUGCCACUUCAUUGCUGCAGUCCUUGUUUUUGUUGUUCAAGUGACGCCGAGGAAGAAGCUGCUGAAAGGGAA
Molecule: long non-coding RNA, 1003 nt
Organism: Drosophila santomea
Lineage: Eukaryota; Metazoa; Arthropoda; Insecta; Diptera; Drosophilidae
Exons: 2
Source: RefSeq, a predicted model, not a curated record